AGCGAACGCUGGCGGCAGGCCUAACACAUGCAAGUCGAACGAACCUUUCGGGGUUAGUGGCGGACGGGUGAGUAACACGUGGGAACGUGCCUUUAGGUUCGGAAUAACUCAGGGAAACUUGUGCUAAUACCGAAUGUGCCCUUCGGGGGAAAGAUUUAUCGCCUUUAGAGCGGCCCGCGUCUGAUUAGCUAGUUGGUUGAGGUAAUGGCUCACCAAGGCGACGAUCAGUAGCUGGUCUGAGAGGAUGAUCAGCCACAUUGGGACUGAGACACGGCCCAAACUCCUACGGGAGGCAGCAGGGGGGAAUCUUGCGCAAUGGGCGAAAGCCUGACGCAGCCAUGUCGCGUGAAUGAUGAAGGUCUUAGGAUUGUAAAAUUCUUUCACCGGGGACGAUAAUGACGGUACCCAGAGAAGAAGCCCCGGCUAACUUCGU
This 433-nucleotide ribosomal RNA is filed under the name uncultured bacterium. RNAcentral's name for it is "partial 16S ribosomal RNA". It matches the Rfam family "Bacterial small subunit ribosomal RNA", at positions 29 to 506 of the family's 1533-position model. The record is from RNAcentral.